RNAcentral lists this microRNA precursor (59 nucleotides) under Haplochromis burtoni (Burton's mouthbrooder). RNAcentral's name for it is "microRNA abu-mir-10550 precursor". The record is from miRBase by way of RNAcentral. Lineage: Eukaryota; Metazoa; Chordata; Actinopteri; Cichliformes; Cichlidae.
CAGCACAUCGCUGAACUGAAGCCGUGAUUUCAGUGGGCUCAGUUUAGAAGUGUGCCUCG